Molecule: ribosomal RNA, 503 nt
Filed under: uncultured bacterium
Lineage: Bacteria
Description: partial 16S ribosomal RNA
Rfam family: Bacterial small subunit ribosomal RNA
Source: RNAcentral
AUUGAACGCUGGCGGCAGGCUUAACACAUGCAAGUCGAGCGGGGUGAUGGUGCUUGCACUAUCACUUAGCGGCGGACGGGUGAGUAAUGCUUAGGAAUCUGCCUAUUAGUGGGGGACAACAUCUCGAAAGGGAUGCUAAUACCGCAUACGUCCUACGGGAGAAAGCAGGGGAUCACUUGUGACCUUGCGCUAAUAGAUGAGCCUAAGUCGGAUUAGCUAGUUGGUGGGGUAAAGGCCUACCAAGGCGACGAUCUGUAGCGGGUCUGAGAGGGGGAUCCACCACCAUGGGGCUGAGACACGGCCCAGACUCCUACGGGAGGCAGCAGUGGGGAAGAUUGGACAAGGGGGGGAACCCUGAUCCAGCCAUGCCGCGUGUGUGAAGAAGGCCUUAUGGUUGUAAAGCACUAUAAGCGAGGAGGAGGCUCUUUUGGUUAAUACCCAAGAUGAGUGGACGUUACUCGCAGAAUAAGCACCGGCUAACUCUGUGCCAGCCGCCGCGGUAA